Non-coding RNA from Mugil cephalus (flathead mullet), 438 nucleotides. The record is from the annotation of a RefSeq genome assembly. NCBI's taxonomy places the organism in Eukaryota, Metazoa, Chordata, Actinopteri, Mugiliformes, Mugilidae.
AUGGAUCAAUCACUUCGUUGUUGGAUUGAUCAGGAACUUGUUUUUGUAUCACUGUGGUGGACGUUCGGUGGAGGAACCAGACUGGAACUUGGAAGUGAUGUCCGUCCCUCCCUGACGGUGCUGCCUCCCUCCGUGGAGGAGCUGCAGCAGGGGAAGGCCACGCUCAUGUGCCUGGCCGACAAGGGCUUCCCCUCAGACUGGAGUCUGUCCUGGAAGGUGGACGGCAGCAGCAGCAUCAGCAACGGGGAGCAGAGCAGGAGCCCCGGGGUGCUGCAGAAGGACGGCCACUACAGCUGGAGCAGCACCCUGAGGCUCCCUGCAGACCAGUGGAGGAAGGUGGUCUCUGUGACCUGUGAGGCCAGCCAGGGCUCCCAGACUCCGCUCUCAGAGACACUGAGGAGAGACCAGUGUUCCCAGUCCUGACCUGACUCACUGGGA